UCCAUUAGUAUAUGAAUAUGGUGAAUGAGAGUAGUUUAUUCAUGUUCUCUACACUUUCUUUCAAUUUGAUUUUCAGUUUAGAUCUGAUUUGCUUUUGCAUUCGAUUUUCGUUUUUGGUCUGAUUGUAUUUGAUUUUAAUUUUUGGUAAAGGUUGAAUUUGAAGGGUUCAUGCCCUAGAUCUGUAGAAUUGCAGAAUCUGAAAGCAUAUCAAUCAAAUUUGUUAUUCGUUGUAUGAACUGUAUGAUGAUUAUGUCGUUGCUCAUGCUUCAAGUAACAUUGGAACUAGUGAUUCUCAAGUGGGAGGAGAUCUUCUAAUAGUCCUAUAACUAGUUGCAAUACAAAAGGAAAAACUAAGAGCAUGUCAGAGUUUGAUAUAUGAGCACAAGAGUUGGAAACUAUUGAACCAAGCAAAUCUGAUUUGGACAUAUAUUUGGAAGAAGGCUUUUACAUUUGUAAAGGGAAUUUAGAUGUUGAUUUUGAUGCUUUAGAUUGGUGUAAGGAAAACACUCUCAAGUUUCGCAUUCUAUCAAACAUGGUACGUGACCAAUAUAUCAAUUCCUAUCAGCACUGUAGCUUCUGAAUCUGCUUUUAGUUCUUCUUUUCUUGAGAUAUUCUUAACAAAUACGUAUUUAGUUUUUUGGAUGUUAGAAUUUCUCAGCUUAUAUUUGAACGUGCAUCAUGAAGGUUUCAUUUUUUUUUUGGCACAGUGGGCACCAUGUGAUACCAUCAUUGCGACGCCAUUGCUUAUUGCAUUUGAACUGCUCCUCUGUAUAUAUCUUGAGAGCAUCUAUGUCAAUGGUUUUGCAGCUGUAAACUUGAGGAUUGUCUUCCUUCCCUUGCUGGCAUUUGAAAUAACCAUCCUAAUGGACAAUUUCAGUGUUCAUAUGAUAUAGAGAAGAACUAUGGUUUAAGUAAUUUGCUGGUCAAACAAGAAAGCUCACUAGUGAUGGACAAUAAUGAACUUCCUUGCCAGCAAGAAAGCAACUUAUAAUCCCACCUGAUCCUUUUGGACCAAUUCUAGUAGAGAAUGACCCAGACAGAAAUCAGGGUGUGUUGGUGGGUGAGACUUAGCAGGAUCGAAUGGAAUGCAGACAAUGGGGAGCUCACCCUCCCCAUGUUGCAGGGAUUCCUGGGCAAGCAGAUUAUGGGGCUCAGUCUGUAGCACUCUCUGGAGGCUAUGAAGAUGAUGAGGAUCACAGUGAAUGGUUCCCAUACACAGGAAGUGGUGGAAGAGACCUCAGUGGAAACAAAAGGACGAACAAGACAGUCAUUUGAUCAAAAGUUUGAUAAAAUGAAUGAGGCAUUACGGGUCAAUUCAAGAAAAGGUUAUCUCGUCCGAGUUGUGAGGCCAGAUAUUUCUGAUUUGGAAAAACGGCUUGCACCCUCGUCCCUAUGAUAGGAGCAAGUGGAUUUGUUACAACUGCAUCUACAACGGCUAUAGAAAUUGUUGUCGGUAGUUUUAGAUAAUCUCUUAAUAGUUGUCGAUAUGUUUAGAAAGUUAGAUAUACAUAAUUUUGGAUGGUUUAAACUUUUUGUACAGUUUAGAACUAAAGGAUAUAGUUUUCGAAUGUAUAGA
Camellia sinensis is the source of this 1576-nucleotide non-coding RNA. The record is from RefSeq and is a predicted model, not a curated record. NCBI's taxonomy places the organism in Eukaryota, Viridiplantae, Streptophyta, Magnoliopsida, Ericales, Theaceae.